GAUGUCAUGUGAAAGGUCAUAAAGCAAUGGGGAGUUGAACAGAACCUGGCUGCUGCUUGGAGAUUGGCUGUGUAUUUGUUGUGAUGGGUCGCCGGACUCCUUUUUCCCCUGUCAUUCUUAAAAGAAAUGUACCUCGAUGAGCAUCGUUGUAAUAAGAUACGUCACACAGGUAGCUGGAGUCUUUAAGGGAAGGAAAAGAAAUGUUAUUCUCUAAAAGCAAGACAACUUUAUCCUUCACUUUAAAACCUUUCUGCUCAUUACCAAUGUAAAUGAAAAGCUCAGUAUAAUGAAUGAAUAUCAGAAUUAAGUUUCUAUAGAUUAGAUGCAUGACAGACUGCAGUGCUUCUGAAAGUCUAUGGUGGCAGUGGCCUUGAACUAAGGAAAAUUUACAUGACCAACCAUUAUAAUCAAUCCAAUCUGUAUUUUAGAUAUUCCCUAAAUAAAUAUAAAUGUGACAAAUGAAAAUGGCUAUCCUGUACAGGUCAAUGAGUUGUGCUUCAAGAGGAUCGUAAAUACAUACUGAUGCAUAGACUACUGAAAAUGAAAUGGUGAAAUGGGAGCUUGGAAUCUUAUAUAUGUAUAUAUAUAUAUGUAUAUAUAUAUAUAGUAUUCUGCUAAUUAUAGAUCCUGUUAAGAUACUUAAAAUUAUUUUGUUGGCAGACAAGUCUUCGUAAUGAGGAAAAUUGUAUCACAUGUGUGGUCAGUACUGUGGUUAUGUAUGGUGAAUGGUCAGGCAAAAGUGAAGCUCAAAGAAGCGUUCACAAUCAUUUUUUCACAGCAGAGCAAGGAUUUACCAUCUAUGGGGUUUUGGUUUUUUUUCCCUUGUGGGGGAGGUAUGAAGAGUGGAGGGCAUCAGUAACAGCAAUACACCCUCUGAAACUUUCCACCAGUCUUCUCUGCGACUCUGAGCAGAAGAUUCCUUGGCUAUCUAAAGCAUCUUCAUGAGACUAUGUCAGUGGUUUAUGGACUGGUUCAGCCCAGUUCCACAACUAGCGGAAUAUGACAGACUAGCAAGAACUUCAGGCGUUUUCCUUCUGGAGUGGCAGCUGGAAGCCAGCAGGGAAACUUUGAUCCAUCUCGUCUGCUAUUAGACAUCAGUGUUUGGCAAUGGAAUCCCUUUUCACAUCUGAGGUCCUUCUAUGGCCCACCAUGACCCUGAGGGGGUGACAGGAAAGUUCAAAGGGGCUCUCAAAAUGUUUUUACAGUGAAAGAACAGCUGACUACCUUUCCUUUCCAACAGUUACAGUAAUUAUAGCCACUGCUGUUCAUUUCCUUGCAUGAAAAGAGCCAAGGAGUUUCCUGCAACAAAGGUAUCAAACUGCUCUCUGACUAUAACAAGAAUUUGUUUCUUCACGGGAAGAGAAGGGUUGUAAUAAGGGGUUAUACUGAGUCACAUGAACCUGAAGGAAAAGUGAAGUGCGAGGAUCUCAUUCUUCAUUGUUCCACCACCAUCUUCACAACUACAAAAGCAUCAUGUAGAGGUACAAUGCUUCCUAAUGACACCAGUGACCUUUUAUCUCCUCUAUGUGUAGGAGACAAAGAGCCCCAAAAUUUGAACUUUUCUUGAUUUGUUACAGUUCUAAUUCUUCAACACAAGUCAUGUUCUGUUUUCUGAGAUGAGCUUUUAGGCUUAAAUACACAUUUAAAAUUCAAGAAGGUUUUUUUUUUUUUUUAAUGUCAGAAAAUGAAGAGUAUUUGUAGAUAUUUUCUGUUUGUCCAAGUUCCCCACCAUAAUUGAGUAGACAGGAUACUUCCUUCCUUCCCUAAAACCAAUAGGCUUUAUUGUGCAGUCCUUCCCGCAAAGAGUUAAUUGAAGCAAAUAAAGUUCUUAAAUUG
Long non-coding RNA from Gallus gallus (chicken), 1836 nucleotides. The record is from Ensembl. NCBI's taxonomy places the organism in Eukaryota, Metazoa, Chordata, Aves, Galliformes, Phasianidae.